RNAcentral lists this ribosomal RNA (443 nucleotides) under uncultured bacterium. Its description in RNAcentral is "partial 16S ribosomal RNA". It matches the Rfam family "Bacterial small subunit ribosomal RNA", at positions 338 to 795 of the family's 1533-position model. The record is from RNAcentral.
CCUACGGGAGGCUGCAGUGGGGAAUUUUCGGCAAUGGGCGCAAGCCUGACCCAGCAACGCCGCGUGAACGAAGAAGGCUUUCGUGUUGUAAACUUCUUUUGUCAGGGACGAAGCAAGUAUCGGUCCCUGACGAAUAAGUCACGGCUAACUACGUGCCAGCAGCCGCGGUAAUACGUAGGUGGCAAGCGUUAUUCGGCUUUACUGGGUGUAAAGGGCGUGUAGGCGGGACUGCAAGUCAGAUGUGAAAACCACGGGUUCAACCUGAGGCGUGCAUUAGAAACUGUAGUUCUUGAGUACUGGAGAGGCAGACGGAAUUCCUAGUGUAGCGGUAAAAUGCGUAGAUAUUAGGAGGAACACCAGUGGCGAAGGCGGUCUGCUGGACAGCAACUGACGCUGAGGCGCGAAAGCGUGGGGAGCAAACAGGAUUAGAUACCCGAGUAGUC